Molecule: transfer RNA, 65 nt
Filed under: Allacma fusca
Lineage: Eukaryota; Metazoa; Arthropoda; Collembola; Symphypleona; Sminthuridae
Description: tRNA-Gly
Source: RNAcentral
AUACUUCUAUUAUAAAAAGUAAAUUUAAUUUCCAAUUAAAAAGUCCAAUUAAAUAGGGAAGUAUA